This 407-nucleotide ribosomal RNA is filed under the name uncultured bacterium. RNAcentral describes it as "partial 16S ribosomal RNA". It matches the Rfam family "Bacterial small subunit ribosomal RNA", at positions 28 to 526 of the family's 1533-position model. The record is from RNAcentral.
GACGAACGCUGGCGGCGCGCUUAACACAUGCAAGUCGAGCGAAGCGGCGGACGGGUGAGUAACACGUGAGUAACCUGCCUUAGACCUUGGGAUAGCCUCGGGAAACCGGGAUUAAUACCAAAUGGUCUAAGAUGGACUCGCGUCCCAUUAGUUAGGUGGUGAGGUAACGGCCAACCACGGCGACGCUGGGUAGCCGGCCGGAGAGGGUGAACGGCCACAUUGGAACUGAGAAACGGUCCAAACACAAAGGGAGGCAGCAGUGUUGAAUAUUGAACAAUGGAGGGAACUCUGAGGCAUCGAUGCAGCGUGAACGAAGAAGGAUUUCGAGUCGUAAAGUUCUUUUAUAUGGGAAGCGGUACCAUAAGAAUGAGCCCCGGGUAACUACGCGCCAGCAGCCGGGGUAAUAC